This 253-nucleotide ribosomal RNA is filed under the name uncultured bacterium. RNAcentral describes it as "partial 16S ribosomal RNA". It matches the Rfam family "Bacterial small subunit ribosomal RNA", at positions 524 to 776 of the family's 1533-position model. The record is from RNAcentral.
UACGUAGGGGGCAAGCGUUAUCCGGAUUUACUGGGUGUAAAGGGAGCGUAGACGGCGAUGCAAGCCAGAUGUGAAAGCCCGGGGCUCAACCCCGGGACUGCAUUUGGAACUGUGUGGCUGGAGUGUCGGAGAGGCAGGCGGAAUUCCUAGUGUAGCGGUGAAAUGCGUAGAUAUUAGGAGGAACACCAGUGGCGAAGGCGGCCUGCUGGACGAUGACUGACGUUGAGGCUCGAAAGCGUGGGGAGUAAACAGG